UACGGGGGGGGCAAGCGUUGUUCGGAAUUACUGGGCGUAAAGGGUGCGUAGGCGGCUUUCUAAGUUGGAUGUGAAAACUAUGGGCUCAACCCAUAGCCUGCAUCCAAAACUGGAGAGCUUGGGUUCUGGAGGGGAAAGCGGAAUUCCUGGUGUAGCGGUGAAAUACGUAGAUAUCAGGAGGAACACCGGUGGCGAAGGCGGCUUUCUGGACAGAUACCGACGCUGAGGAGCGAAAGCGUGGGGAGCGAACAGG
RNAcentral lists this ribosomal RNA (253 nucleotides) under uncultured bacterium. Its description in RNAcentral is "partial 16S ribosomal RNA". It matches the Rfam family "Bacterial small subunit ribosomal RNA", at positions 524 to 776 of the family's 1533-position model. The record is from RNAcentral.